CUUAAAGAUGUUUCUACAAUAGAUUUCGGAUUUGAUCUAAUCAAAUCUGACUCUAUGGGUUUACUAGAUUGUGUCAGUUCUUCUAUCGAUUGAACUUCAUCAAGUUCAAUGUUUGAGGUAUUAGUUUCUUCUCCAAAGAACUUCUUUUCUAAAAAAACUGUCUUAUUGCUAACGAACACCUUUUAUUCAUCAGCAAGGUAGAAGUAAUAUCCUUUG
This 216-nucleotide long non-coding RNA is filed under the name Elaeis guineensis (African oil palm). Its description in RNAcentral is "long non-coding RNA (EGUI_LNC049209)". The record is from RNAcentral. Lineage: Eukaryota; Viridiplantae; Streptophyta; Magnoliopsida; Arecales; Arecaceae.